Molecule: ribosomal RNA, 200 nt
Filed under: uncultured bacterium
Lineage: Bacteria
Description: partial 16S ribosomal RNA
Rfam family: Bacterial small subunit ribosomal RNA
Source: RNAcentral
UCGGAUCGGAGUCUGCAACCCGACUCCGUGAAGCUGGAUUCGCUAGUAAUCGCGCAUCAGCCAUGGCGCGGUGAAUACGUUCCCGGGCCUUGUACACACCGCCCGUCAAGCCAUGGGAGCCGGGGGUGCUUGAAGUGCGUCGCCGCAAGGCGCGCCCUAGAGCAAAACCGGUGACUGGGGCUAAGUCGUAACAAGGUAUC